Molecule: unclassified non-coding RNA, 289 nt
Filed under: Athalia rosae (coleseed sawfly)
Lineage: Eukaryota; Metazoa; Arthropoda; Insecta; Hymenoptera; Athaliidae
Description: misc RNA ENSAEAG00005003385.1
Source: RNAcentral
CCUAUACGUGCUGUACGUAUAGAUAUUUUAUACAUUUUGCUCGUUUUGACAUUUAAUAUGAAAGUUAAGCCCACCUUAAACUUUGAAGAAUUUCGAGCCCAGGAGAGCUUGCGGUAUAUAUCGUAACAAUGGAGAAAUUGAUAAUUGAAAAUACAUAUCGAAAUGGAAGAACCGAGAACGGGAAAACAUAUAUUGGGCGGAGUACCUAUGCGAUACGUGAAAUGACAUAAAAAAAUAUACAUUAAACAAAGAGAAAGAGAGAGAGAGAGGGAGAGAGAGAGAGAAAGAG